GACGAACGCUGGCGGCGUGCUUAACACAUGCAAGUCGAACGGUAAGGCCCUUCGGGGUACACGAGUGGCGAACGGGUGAGUAACACGUGGGUGAUCUGCCCUGCACUUCGGGAUAAGCCUGGGAAACUGGGUCUAAUACCGGAUAGGACUCCUGGCUUCAUGGUUGGGGGUGGAAAGCUUUUGCGGUGUGGGAUGGGCCCGCGGCCUAUCAGCUUGUUGGUGGGGUAAUGGCCUACCAAGGCGACGACGGGUCGCCGGCCUGAGAGGGUGACCGGUCACACUGGGACUGAGAUACGGCCCAGACUCCUACGGGAGGCAGCGGUGGGGAAUAUUGCACAAUGGGCGCAAGCCUGAUGCAGCGACGCCGCGUGAGGGAUGACGGCAUUCGGGUUGUAAACCUCUUUCAGCUAUGACGAAGCGCAAGUGACGGUAGUAGCAGAAGAAGGACCGGCCAACUACGUGCCAGCAGCCGCCGCCG
Molecule: ribosomal RNA, 478 nt
Filed under: uncultured bacterium
Lineage: Bacteria
Description: partial 16S ribosomal RNA
Rfam family: Bacterial small subunit ribosomal RNA
Source: RNAcentral